UUUCCAAUUAAUGAAACUGAUCUUCUCGUGAAGAUAUAAAUAUAAGACGAGAAGACCCCAUGGAGCUUUAAACUUAUCACCAUUUACUUCUUAUUACACCACUGUAUAUAGUAAAAUUUACUUGAUAGUUUUCGGCUGGGGUGACCCUGGAGAAAAACAAAUCCUCCAGGAUGAACGGAAUAAUAAUCCUAAUCAAAGAGCUACAGCUCUAUGAAUCAAAAUAUUGACAGAUUUGAUCCAAUUACUUGAUCAACGAACCAAGUUACCCUGGGGAUAACAGCGCAAUCCAUUUCAAGAGCCCCUAUCGACAAAUGGGUUUACGACCUCGAUGUUGGAU
This 337-nucleotide ribosomal RNA is filed under the name Heterixalus andrakata (Andrakata reed frog). RNAcentral describes it as "partial large subunit ribosomal RNA". The stretch from base 43 to 337 matches the Rfam family "Bacterial large subunit ribosomal RNA", at positions 2076 to 2537 of the family's 2925-position model. The record is from RNAcentral. Lineage: Eukaryota; Metazoa; Chordata; Amphibia; Anura; Hyperoliidae.